UUGCUCCCUGAUGUUAGCGGCGGACGGGUGAGUAACACGUGGGUAACCUGCCUGUAAGACUGGGAUAACUCCGGGAAACCGGGGCUAAUACCGGAUGGUUGUUUGAACCGCAUGGUUCACACAUAAAAGGUGGCUUCGGCUACCACUUACAGUGGACCCGCGGCGCAUUAGCUAGUUGGUGAGGUAACGGCUCACCAAGGCACGAUGCGUAGCCGACCUGAGAGGGUGUCGGCCACACUGGGACUGAGACACGGCCCAGACUCCUACGGGAGGCAGCAGUAGGGAAUCUUCCGCAAUGGACGAAAGUCUGACGGAGCAACGCCGCGUGAGUGAUGAAGGUUUUCGGAUCGUAAAGCUCUGUUGUUAGGGAAGAACAAGUACGUUCGAAUAGGGCGGUACCUUGACGGUACCUAACCAGAAAGCCACAGCUAACUACGUGCCAGCAGCCGCGGUAAUCGUAGGUGGCAAGCGUUGUCCGGAAUUAUUGGGCGUAAAGGGCUCGCAGGCGGUUUCUUAAGUCUGAUGUGAAAGCCCCGGCUCAACCGGGGAGGGUCAUUGGAAACUGGGGAACUUGAGUGCAGAAGAGGAGAGUGGAAUUCCACGUGUAGGGUGAAAU
RNAcentral lists this ribosomal RNA (616 nucleotides) under Bacillus subtilis. RNAcentral describes it as "bacterial SSU rRNA". It matches the Rfam family "Bacterial small subunit ribosomal RNA", at positions 79 to 687 of the family's 1533-position model. The record is from RNAcentral. Lineage: Bacteria; Bacillati; Bacillota; Bacilli; Caryophanales; Bacillaceae.